UCGUCUCUGCGCUGGUUUGAGUCAGAAUACGCAGUGUUUUACGCAGGGAAAGUAGGGAUAUAACUAAGUCAAAUGAUCUUUUACUCGUCAACGUUGUUUCGACAUGUUUAUUAAUUGUAUUUUUGACUAAUAUUUAACGGUGAACAGCAAGAUCCGGCAAUGUUUAUCGUUUUAUUACUUCGUUCGUAUACGUUCGUAUAAUAAUUCUGUAAGUAUAUCGACUUUCGACAUUAGUUUGCUUGAUCAAAGAUGUGAAAAGGUAUGCUAACAAGCAAUAGAAAUCUAUAUUCUUAUUACAGGGAACAGCAACGCAAGAAGUGAAAGAAAACUAAAUUGUCGCUGAUGAUAAUCGAUUGACAACUGAUCGAUGUGUAUGGAAAGACAUGUCAAUAAUACAACACGAAUCACAAUAUCGAAGGAGCAAUGGCCCUUGAAGCACAUGUCGUCGCGGACGGAUCUGCAAUUGGAAAACUCUAUCUUCGUCUACCAUGUUUCUAAUUUAUCCACUCCCGGGUUGGAAAUGUGGUCCUAAGAUAACGUCAAUAAAUACAAAUUAAAAAAUAGAUUUUUGUUUGAGAUUGAAAUCAUACUAAUUGAAGCUAUGAUAAUAUAAAAUUCUCUCCAUGUGUGUCUUAACCCCCGACAAAGAAUUGUGAUUAUAUUCUGUCGAUUUCGCAUACGUCCCCGUCUGUAUACUAAAGUAAUAUGUUCCAAGGACAUCAUUGAAAUCGCGAGUAAUUUGCAGACAAAAAUCAGAUAGGGGGAGAAUCUCUAAUAUGACUGAACUCUACAAAACCCUAACAUCGGAACAAUAUUAUUGAAACGCGUUUCGAGAAAACAACAAGAAUCAUAAGAUCGUGAAAACUGAAGCCGAUAAAUAAUCACUCAUUACAUACCGAAAUGCAAAUGGAAUAUGAAUGUGGAGUACGGAGUGUGAGGAGCUUUAGCAUGACUGGUCUCAAACAUUCAAGAACAAAAUCACUGAAAGUCUAUAAAUGUAGAGACAAAAUUUUGAAGAGAUGAGCAUAAUCUGACUGCCAUUUGUGGAACAGUAUUAUUGAAAAUAUUUAUGAAAAAGAAUGAACGAACAGCGGCUACGAAGAAAACUGAUAUGAAAUGCGAAAUACAUUGUGUGUGUAUUGUUGUAUUUAACAUUCUCCAUUCACACACUUUCAUUGAAAUGAACCUAUGGGUCGUUUUCUAAUUAUGUCGUUGUGAAAAUAUCGCCUCACUUAUCCGAUUGCCGGACCAAUUGCUUUGAAAUUUUCAAUGGUUGAAACGUGUUGUUGUCGCUAGAAGCCUACUUUUAUUUAUUUUCCAUUAAAAGUAUUUGAGCUGUUUUGAAUUUCAAAGAUUAUGUGAUGUCAUCAAAAUUAAAAUUAUUUUCACUUCGACGUUUCGUGUGGGACGUCAUCAAAAUUAAAAUGAUGGCAUACCGUGUCGUGGUCUGACUACCGGUACUGUAAUAGAUUUGAUACUACUUCGGUUUGGCCUGUGGUAUAUAUAUUUGUGCAUUGUUUCUUGUAUGUUAUAUUGAUACACUGCAAGUUUGCGUUCGCAUCUAUCUGCUUAAAGUCCAAUUUUACGGAAUCGCAUUAACCACACUAACACGCCACGCAUUCAAAUUUAAAAUGUGUAGCAAAAUCAUGUCAUCCCUCCUUCAAAAGUAAAAACGGAUUUCUGAAUAAAGUUGCUAAAGACAACCUAAAAUGCCAAAUGUAGUACAUGUCGAUUAGCUCAUGUAAGCAAUUAUAUUCAUUAUGAUAACGAAUAGAGAUAUAAAUGGUGAAUUCCAUAGAAUUCGUUCUGGAAAUUUUUUUCUCUCCAUUCUAUGAUUUCUGCAUACAGAUGCCUAGAAUUAUUCUUUUAGGGAUAUGUAAUUUAAUGACUAUGACACAAUAAAAAUUAUAGAAGCCUAGAUAUGCCAUCCCAUAUCAUAAUUCUACCCGUUAAGGUUAACACGUAACAUUGACACGUAAUUUAUUUGAUUUAUUGCGAGACUACAGUUUUUUUCUCUGGUAUGUUGCGUAUUCUGCUAUCCACCGAUUUUUAUUUUUUUUCAGUUU
Molecule: non-coding RNA, 2066 nt
Organism: Styela clava
Lineage: Eukaryota; Metazoa; Chordata; Ascidiacea; Stolidobranchia; Styelidae
Source: RefSeq, a predicted model, not a curated record